CACGUAGGCGGAUCAGAAAGUCAGAGGUGAAAUCCCAGGGCUCAACCUUGGAACUGCCUUUGAAACUCCUGAUCUUGAGUUCGAGAGAGGUGAGUGGAAUUCCGAGUGUAGAGGUGAAAUUCGUAGAUAUUCGGAGGAACACCAGUGGCGAAGGCGGCUCACUGGCUCGAUACUGACGCUGAGGUGCGAAAGCGUGGGGAGCAAACA
Molecule: ribosomal RNA, 207 nt
Filed under: uncultured bacterium
Lineage: Bacteria
Description: partial 16S ribosomal RNA
Rfam family: Bacterial small subunit ribosomal RNA
Source: RNAcentral